GAUCCAACAGAAGUCUUUUAGGAAAUUGAGUAGACACAGUUGGGAUUCCGGGAUUCUUCCAAAAGUCUUCAAUGGAACCAUCGAUUUUUAAGGCUGAAGACUUCAAUUUGACUCAAGCUUAUUCCUUCUUGCUGCAAAGAGUUUUAGGCGCACUACAUGCACAUGCACACCCUGAUGAUAUAUCAAAAGGGAAUGAAAUCAUGGCUUGCAACAACUCAAUGAAGGUAAAAAGAGCAAGCGACGACACCUAAUGGCAUCUAUACAUUUAUUGUCUACUACAAAUCACAUUGGACGCUGCAAAAGACCACCGAAAAUCAACAUCUUGCACAUCCCCAUACCCAAAGGCGUAUUGUAGUCGCACAACGUGCGUCGAUGAACAAC
Long non-coding RNA from Helianthus annuus (common sunflower), 381 nucleotides. RefSeq lists it as uncharacterized. The record is from RefSeq and is a predicted model, not a curated record. NCBI's taxonomy places the organism in Eukaryota, Viridiplantae, Streptophyta, Magnoliopsida, Asterales, Asteraceae. The transcript has 3 exons.